ACGUCACUUCCGGGUGUGGCUUUAUUCUCCGAGGCGCCGCAACCUCACAGCGGCAGGUACAGCGAGUAGUCGGAGAGCGCCCAGCGGCGGGCCGGGCGGCCGGUACGGCCGAUCAUGGGCAGCUUCUGCACGUAGCGGGACGCGGGGCUGGGCCCAUAUGGGGCAGGAAAGGCAGUUUGAAAGAGGCGCCCGCGGCAGCGCCGCCCGGCCUGACGCCCUGCGAUUAUAAACCGGAAGUGUGGGGCGCCACGGGGCGCGAAGCGGCUCUUCUGGAAGACGUCUCGCGUUCCCGCGCCGGGGCCCUGCUGACGAGGAGCACCCCGCGCCCGGUGUACGCGCGGUAGCGGCCUGCUCUCCGAGGCGGCGGUGGCGGUGGCGAGAGUCCCACCGCACGGGCUUUCGUCACCCUGAGGGCUGACCACGGCGCUGGCAGUCAGCUGCGGCAUUUUCCGCACCGAAUCCGGGGCAGCCGCAGGCUCCUUCUUGUCUCCGGGUGGUCGCGGGGCCGUGGGAGCAGGCUGGCCAGUGCCAAAGCGAGUGGCCAAGCUGUCACCAAAGAAGGAGUAUAGCUCACGGUAGAUGUCUGCCAGGGUCAAGGAAGAAGGGUCCUCUGGUCCCGCAACCCCUGAUGGUGGCGGGAGACCAGACCCAAAACCUGUUUCGGAGCUGCCCCCGGGGGGAGAUUCUUGUAGGAGAAGGCUGUCCCAAGGCAGGUCCUCCGCAGGACGGUACCCUCUCCCGCCAAGGCCACCGCGGUUGGGCUCUGCUGCCUGAGCUUUCAUCUUCAAUAGUCGUUCUACGGCCACCUGUAAACAGAGAGCUAAGAGGAACCUGGGCCCAAGAGCCAUGGCAAAGUAAAUCUGCUAAGCUCCUGCAGGAAAGAGAAGGUGGGACUGCUAACUCACCAGAAUGGCUCCAUACACUUUGUGCCCGUCCGCUUUGACCUGGGCAUUAGAUACGGAAUAGUCAUCCAGCACAGCCUGCAAGUUUGUCCAGUAAGUGGGCAGAUGUGGGUAGAGGACUCGCUCCACUGCCUGGAAUGCAAAGGACUGCAGUCAAGCAACCUUGUUCCAAAUGCCCUCUUCAGUGCCCUUUCCCACAAAAGAUCCACUCAAUUUUUGACAGGGCUCAGUCCUCUAUUUCCUUAUUGACAUAUCCCACGUCUCUGGGAUCUAUUGUAUGCAUAAGCUUUUGGUAAGCAUAAGGGAUCAAAACAUACAAAUACAUGCAAUAUUAAAAAGCCCCAUUACUGGCAUUUACUCUGAGCUAUUUAGGCAUAAUUAAAUCAUUAAGACACAGAAAUUGUUUGCAGACUGCUAGUAAAUACAAUCAGUAAGGAAGUGGUGUACUUGUUAGAGAAAUGAGAGCUGAGUUUAGACCACACACAUAAAAACAAUACUGGGAGCCCAGACUGGGCCUUGAAUUCAUGAGAAUUCCCUUUCUUUCAUUUCCCAAACUGGGAUUAUACAGGCAGUGUACUACUACACAUGACUUUGUAAAGUUUUAAAUGGUGUAAUCAUCUGGGGGCAAAACAUGCUUAACAAAGACAAUGACAUUAGAGAUGGGCUUUGACAUAUAAGGUAGACUUGGAUCACUCAUCCAGAGCAUAAACAUUUGACAAUGCUGACCAAACUCCUGGGGAAAAUGCUGAAAGAAAUAGGGAUUAUAUUUUAUGGAAGACAUCAGAACAUCCUGCUAGAAUUUAUAGAUAUUACUAUACACUCAGAAAAGCUAUCUUAGCAGCAGCCAUCCUCCAGAUGAUUGUUCCAGAGUCAAUACAUGCCGGGCUUCCUCCAAGCUAUGAGACAAUCAAAAAAGGUGACUGAACUCGGGGAACUCCUCAACAACUCAGCUGUUGUGAGGACCACUGUGAUCAACACACCCAGUUCUGUGUCUGACCAUGUGGUCUGGUCCCUGUUCAAUGCACUCUUCAAUGCUGCUGCCUGGGCUUCAUUGCCUAUGCCUACUCUGUGAAGUCCAGGGACAGGAAGAUGGUGGGCGAGAUGACUGGAGACCAGGCCAAGUGCCUGAAUCUUCAGCAUCCUUAUGGUUAUUAUCAUUAUUAUCAUUAUUUCCUCUACCACCUCUGUGGCAGUCUUUCAUUUUUACAAAGAAUGCCACAUUCUAGAUUCUAGCUGCCCUGUGUUCCACUAUCCACAUCUGGCCCUCCCCUUAGGCUGAGGCCUUGACCCUUUACCCUAUGCAUGCAAAUGUUACCUUCACAGAUCAGUUCACAGCAGAUUCAAUAAAGUACACUUGGUGGAAAAAAGCAAAGCAAAGCUAUCUUAACAGUAAAUGAGGUAGACUUUGAGAAUGAGGUAGCCUGUAACUCUAGCAUUCAGGAGCUUGAGUCCAAGUUUGAGGCCAGCCUGGGCUUCACUUUUAAGUCCCUGUUUUUGUUUUUGUUUUUAAAAAACCAAGCAUGGUGGCUCAAGCCUUUAAUCCCAACAAUGAAGGGUAGGGAGUUAGGGGCUAAGG
RNA transcript from Mus musculus (house mouse), 2478 nucleotides. It is a transcript of the gene named predicted gene 2518, with no coding region annotated. The record is from RefSeq and is marked validated. Lineage: Eukaryota; Metazoa; Chordata; Mammalia; Rodentia; Muridae. The transcript has a single exon.